CAGCAGCCGCGGUAAUACGAAGGGUGCAAGCGUUAAUCGGAAUUACUGGGCGUAAAGCGUGCGUAGGCGGUUUGUUAAGUCUGUUGUGAAAUCCCCGGGCUCAACCUGGGAAUGGCAAUGGAUACUGGCAAGCUAGAGUGUGUCAGAGGAUGGUGGAAUUCCCGGUGUAGCGGUGAAAUGCGUAGAGAUCGGGAGGAACAUCAGUGGCGAAGGCGGCCAUCUGGACAAAGACUGACGCUCAGGUGCGAAAGCGUGGGGAGCAAACAGGAUUAGAUACCCGCGUAGUCCCUGUCUCUUAUAA
This 301-nucleotide ribosomal RNA is filed under the name uncultured bacterium. Its description in RNAcentral is "partial 16S ribosomal RNA". It matches the Rfam family "Bacterial small subunit ribosomal RNA", at positions 509 to 809 of the family's 1533-position model. The record is from RNAcentral.